GCCUGGAUACACCGGUUCCCAUCCGAACACCGAAGUUAAGCAGGC
Molecule: ribosomal RNA, 45 nt
Filed under: Oryza brachyantha (malo sina)
Lineage: Eukaryota; Viridiplantae; Streptophyta; Magnoliopsida; Poales; Poaceae
Also listed under: 1 other name
Source: RNAcentral